Molecule: ribosomal RNA, 253 nt
Filed under: uncultured bacterium
Lineage: Bacteria
Description: partial 16S ribosomal RNA
Rfam family: Bacterial small subunit ribosomal RNA
Source: RNAcentral
UACAGAGGGUGCGAGCGUUAAUCGGAAUUACUGGGCGUAAAGCGUGCGCAGGCGGUUGUGCAAGACAGAUGUGAAAUCCCCGGGCUUAACCUGGGAACUGCAUUCGGGACUGCAUUGCUAGAGUAUGGGAGAGGGAAGUGGAAUUUCAGGUGUAGCGGUGAAAUGCGUAGAUAUCUGAAGGAACAUCAGUGGCGAAAGCGACUUCCUGGACCAAUACUGACGCUCAUGUGCGAAAGCGUGGGGAGCAAACAGG